This is a long non-coding RNA of Ictalurus punctatus (channel catfish), 2696 nucleotides long. Lineage: Eukaryota; Metazoa; Chordata; Actinopteri; Siluriformes; Ictaluridae. The record is from Ensembl.
AAAGAAUAUUAAUGUUAUGUAAAUCUUGUUUCAGAUAUCAACCUUUUUUCCAGCACACCCUCAGAUUUUACAUUGUAUUUGCCUGUUUAAAUGACUUCAGUUAAAGGGAUAGUUCAACCAGACAAUGCUAACAGUGUAUAAAUAAUAAUAAUAAUAAUAAUAAUAAAAUAUUACUGGUUAGCAUUGGAUCAGUCAAAUAUUAGACCUAUUGGAUUGAACUUGCUCUUUAAGUAAACAGUGAUAGCACUCAAAGUUAGCAAGCUAUCCUGUAUUAAUUGUGGUGUUGUGCAUGCUUUCCCCAUAUUGUUGUUUAUUUAAUUUAUUAAGUUCUUUAAACAUGGUAUAUGUAGCUAUGUUGACGCUACGAUGAUGUUGUUUUUUUUUAUUGUUUGUCUUUUUUUUUUCUCUCUCCAGAACAUGCAUUUAGAGGGCAAACCAACAACAAUGUCUGUUGUUUUCUUUAGGCGUCAUCUAGGCUGGUCCCGUUUUGUUUUAUUUUUCUUACCAGGUCUAUGUGAAUUACCCAAUGGUAAUGACCAUGGCUAGUAAAAGUGUUGCGUUGAUUUGUUUGCCACAUUUCAUUGUUGCACUUUAAAACGGAUCAACAGUAUCCCAGCGAUUAUGGUGCAGUUUACUGAGAGUGAUGUAGAUCAUGAUUUGUUUUUUGCCUCCUACUUAUAGCAAUGAAAUUAAGAGAUCAUUUUGGGAGGCAUACAUGUUCUGUAUUCAUAUAUAAAACUAUCUUUUGUUAUCCCUACGGACUUGUACUGUUUCAUGUUAAAUGGCAGCUGUUUCCAUAACUGUGUCCUACUGUAAACGCUCAAGAUCCAAUUAAUAAAUGCAAAACCUUGCUUUUAUGCAGAAGAUCCAAUUGCGGACUAGAGCACAGUUUUUAACACAGAUUAUGACCGGAGCAGAGUGACCUUGUUGUUUUUUGGUGUUUUUGAUUUAUUUAUUUUUUCUAAACUUUUUACAAUCAGUUAUGUGUGCCACUGGCACUGCUGAUAUCUCUGCUCCAUUUCAUUCAUGUUCUCCUUCAACCUGCAAUCGCAGCAGCUGUUGUCCUGCAGCAGGGAGCUGACUUAGCAGACUGCCUAUUUUAACAUUUGUGGCAUGGGGAGGCUAGCAUUCCUGUCCAAGAUUCAGCUGUGCCGUUAACACUUGAGUGUCGAAAGACACAAGGACUCGAUUGUCGAACCCACUGCGCUCAGACACCCUCCGAAAAUGUAAUUGCAUCAACAAGGCUGUAGCAAACCUGCUUUCUUAACUGUUCUGACUGUAUCAUCCUUAGCAAGGGAAGUAGAGCAACCCUCUAAGACUUUUCUAAAGUUUUUGUUGCUGACAUGUUCAGAGAUUUUUCAGACAGCAUUUGUUAUUAAAAUUAAUGCUGGUCAGCCGUUAAAGCACUCAAGUUCAAUUGGCUAGUAGAGAAAAAGCACUGUGUUUGGAAGAAGCAAGCCAAAUAAAAGUGUGACAAAGCACCAGCAGCUGUUGGCAAGAUAAUCCUUCAGCUGUGCUGUUUGUUUUUGUUUUUGUUUUUUUGCUCCCAACCCACCCUUACAGUUUAUUUCAAGUUCAAAAAAAGGAAAUCAUUCUGAUUAUUGUGAUCAUUCUGUGGACCUGUGACUUCUCUGUGGUCAUCAUACUGUAUGUAAACUGAACUAAUGAUAGUUUUCUUGGUCUGUGUGAAUGUUAUGUUGCUAGAAUAAUCCGACUAAUCAGUAUAGUUCAGAUGAGGGUCUUACUAUGGGUAUAAACAGGCAUUCCACUAAUUACACUUGUAUGCACUACAAAAAAAGCUAUGUAGUAGAUAGGAAGUGCUGCAAAAUCAUGAAAAAAAAAUUAUUUUUUACUAAUUUAUUGUCACAGAGAAAGUAAUGCCAGGAAGCAAUAUACGUACACAGGGACGGGUUUAUGGCUAUAUAUCCUGCUACAGCGGGUUGAUUUGUCUUCCUGGGUUUCAAAGUUGGGGAAUGUGCAAGUUCAAUAGGCUGGUUCCAUAUGUUUCAUAAAUCCUUUAAUUUUUCUUUAAAAAUUCUCUUUUUCUUUUUUAAAUUAAAAACACACCAGUGUCGUUUUGAUUGAUGUUAACUGUGUUGCUGUUCCAAGUAAUUCUCCAGAGUUCAGUGAUUACUUGAUGGACUGUUUUGGACAUGCAAGUGUGAACCAAGCUUGUAAUGGAACAUUUCUUCACAAGUCAAAGGAAUAGUUAUUUUUCAAUUAAUAUGUUUCUGGCAGAUAUGUUAAGGUCAACACCAAGCCCAUAUAUGGUUUCUACUCAGGUUUUAGGUAUCCUCAGUUUCUGUGUGCCCCCGUCACGUACAUACCUCCUGUUAAGAUUAAGUGGUUAGGAGGCAGGCUAGAUACAUUUUCCUAUAACAGGAACUCUAAUGAGGUGAACACUCCAGUCCUGCUGGUGCUUGACUAUCCUGUAACCUCGUAUUGCCUCCAACAGACCACAGACUGGGUGGCCAUCCAUUUCUCUAUGGGUGCUCACUUUUUCAAGUGGAGAUUUACAAGUCUAUAUUUAGAAAAUUCUAUGUAUGUUUGUACCGAAAUAAAGAAAAUUAUCAUUGAUGGUAAAUUAGUCGCUGUCUUGGUGCUGAUGUCUUUUUUCUUGCAAGUUAUGUUUUCAUUUUAACCCCAAGGUUUAAUGGGGGACUAUGGGCUUUCAGCCAUGUUCAGAAUCUACGAAA